RNAcentral lists this ribosomal RNA (503 nucleotides) under uncultured bacterium. RNAcentral describes it as "bacterial SSU rRNA". It matches the Rfam family "Bacterial small subunit ribosomal RNA", at positions 10 to 507 of the family's 1533-position model. The record is from RNAcentral.
AGUUUGAUCAUGGCUCAGAUUGAACGCUGCGGCAUGCCUUACACAUGCAAGUCGAACGGCAGCACGGGAGCUUGCUCCUGGUGGCGAGUGGCGAACGGGUGAGUAAUACAUCGGAACGUACCCUGAAGUGGGGGAUAACGUAGCGAAAGUUACGCUAAUACCGCAUAUUCUGGUGAGCAGGAAAGAGGGGGAUCGCAAGACCUCUCGCUUUAGGAGCGGCCGAUGUCGGAUUAGCUAGUUGGUGAGGUAAAGGCUCACCAAGGCGACGAUCCGUAGCGGGUCUGAGAGGAUGAUCCGCCACACUGGGACUGAGACACGGCCCAGACUCCUACGGGAGGCAGCAGUGGGGAAUUUUGGACAAUGGGCGCAAGCCUGAUCCAGCCAUGCCGCGUGAGUGAAGAAGGCCUUCGGGUUGUAAAGCUCUUUCGGUGGGAAGAAAUUGCUUCGGUUAAUACCUGGAGUAGAUGACGGUACCCGCAUAAGAAGCACCGGCUAACUACGUG